RNAcentral lists this ribosomal RNA (253 nucleotides) under uncultured bacterium. RNAcentral's name for it is "partial 16S ribosomal RNA". It matches the Rfam family "Bacterial small subunit ribosomal RNA", at positions 524 to 776 of the family's 1533-position model. The record is from RNAcentral.
UACGUAGGGGGCUAGCGUUGUCCGGAUUUAUUGGGCGUAAAGAGCGUGUAGGCGGCCAGGUAGGUCUGCUGUGAAAACUCGAGGCUCAACCUCGAGACGUCGGCGGAAACCAUCUGGCUAGAGUCCGGAAGAGGAGAGUGGAAUUCCUGGUGUAGCGGUGAAAUGCGCAGAUAUCAGGAAGAACACCCGUGGCGAAGGCGCUCUGCUAGGCCGCAACUGACACUCAUGGACGAAAGCUAGGGGAGCGAAUGGG